AACGGUCUAUACCUGCGGUACCUGCGGAAGGAUCAUUACCGAGUUUACAACUCCCAAACCCCCUGUGAACCUAUACCAUUACUGUUGCUUCGGCGGGUCAUUGCCCCGGGGAAAGGACGAGGUGCCGCCUAGGCUCCCCGGCCCGCCCCCGGAAACAGGCGCCUGCCGGGGGAAUCAAACUCUUCUGUAUUUUUUACUUUUACUGUUAUACUGUCUGAGUACAAAACUAUAAAUGAAUCA
Molecule: unclassified non-coding RNA, 240 nt
Filed under: soil metagenome
Description: partial contains 5.8S ribosomal RNA, internal transcribed spacer 2, and large subunit ribosomal RNA
Source: RNAcentral